This 456-nucleotide ribosomal RNA is filed under the name uncultured soil bacterium. Its description in RNAcentral is "partial 16S ribosomal RNA". The record is from RNAcentral.
GGAAUUCGAUUCGGUGUGACAAGGCCCGGGAACGUAUUCACCGCGGCAUGUUGAUCCGCGAUUACUAGCGAUUCCGACUUCAUGCUCUCGAGUUGCAGAGAGCAAUCCGAACUGAGACGGCUUUUCGAGAUUGGCUCGGCAUCGCUGCCUUGCGCCCCUCUGUCACCGCCAUUGUAGCACGUGUGUAGCCCAGCCCAUAAGGGCCAUGAGGACUUGACGUCAUCCCCGCCUUCCUCCGGCUUGUCACCGGCAGUUUCUGCAGAGUGCCCGGCUCUACCCGAUGGCAACUGCAGAUGGGGGUUGCGCUCGUUGCGGGACUUAACCCAACAUCUCACGACACGAGCUGACGACAGCCAUGCAGCACCUGUGUUCCCGCCAGCCGAACUGAAGGGAGGGGUCUCCCCCACCCACACGGGACAUGUCAAGGGCUGGUAAGGUUCUUCGCGUUAAUCACUA